CUUACCUUUCGGGGCAGGGUGAAAUUCCCUACCGGCGGUGUUGUACGGCAGCUUCGGCAGCCGUCUCAGUCCGUGAGCUGCGUUACAUCUUGCUGCAGCAGCAAGUUAUAGCGUUUGCCGACUCGGUGCAAAUCCGAGACCGACAGUAUAGUCUGGAUGGGAGAAGGGGAAG
This 172-nucleotide non-coding RNA is filed under the name Paenibacillus sp. RNAcentral describes it as "FMN sequence". It matches the Rfam family "FMN riboswitch aptamer (RFN element)". From Rfam's summary of the family: The RFN element is a highly conserved domain that is found frequently in the 5'-untranslated regions of prokaryotic mRNAs that encode for flavin mononucleotide (FMN) biosynthesis and transport proteins. RNAcentral also lists the same sequence under 1 other name. The record is from RNAcentral. Lineage: Bacteria; Bacillati; Bacillota; Bacilli; Caryophanales; Paenibacillaceae.